UACGGAGGGUGCGAGCGUUGUUCGGAAUUAUUGGGCGUAAAGCGCGUGUAGGCGGUUUGUUAAGUCUGAUGUGAAAGCCCCGGGCUCAACCUGGGAAGUGCAUUGGAUACUGGCAGACUUGAAUACGGGAGAGGGCAGUGGAAUUCCUGGUGUAGGAGUGAAAUCCGUAGAUAUCAGGAGGAACACCGGUGGCGAAGGCGGCUGCCUGGACCGAUAUUGACGCUGAGACUGCCGAA
This 236-nucleotide ribosomal RNA is filed under the name uncultured Geobacter sp. Its description in RNAcentral is "partial 16S ribosomal RNA". It matches the Rfam family "Bacterial small subunit ribosomal RNA", at positions 524 to 758 of the family's 1533-position model. Lineage: Bacteria; Pseudomonadati; Thermodesulfobacteriota; Desulfuromonadia; Geobacterales; Geobacteraceae. The record is from RNAcentral.